RNAcentral lists this ribosomal RNA (446 nucleotides) under uncultured bacterium. RNAcentral's name for it is "partial 16S ribosomal RNA". It matches the Rfam family "Bacterial small subunit ribosomal RNA", at positions 338 to 795 of the family's 1533-position model. The record is from RNAcentral.
CCUACGGGAGGCAGCAGUCGAGAAUCAUUCACAAUGGGGGAAACCCUGAUGGUGCGACGCCGCGUGGGGGAAUGAAGGUCUUCGGAUUGUAAACCCCUGUCAUGUGGGAGCAAAUUAAAAAGAUAGUACCACAAGAGGAAGAGACGGCUAACUCUGUGCCAGCAGCCGCGGUAAUACAGAGGUCUCAAGCGUUGUUCGGAAUCACUGGGCGUAAAGCGUGCGUAGGCUGUUUCGUAAGUCGUGUGUGAAAGGCGCGGGCUCAACCCGCGGACGGCAGAUGAUACUGCGAGACUAGAGUAAGGGAGGGGGAACCGGAAUGCUCGGUGUAGCAGUGAAAUGCGUAGAUAUCGAGAGGAACACUCGUGGCGAAGGCGGGUUCCUGGACAUUAACUGACGCUGAGGCACGAAGGCCAGGGGAGCGAAAGGGAUUAGAUACCCUAGUAGUC